GCAUGAAGAAGAUUCAGGUGAUGUUUCAAUUGAUCUUUUAUCUUUAAUUUAUCGAUUUUCUAAUUUUACAAAAAUGUUCUCACCGAGUAGAAUAUACUUUUGAGUUUUGAGUUAAAUCUUUCACAGUCUGUUGUGGAUUAGCAACGUUUCAAGCCAUAUUAACUAUUGUGUUGUGGCAGUUCGAAAGAUUCAUAUAAAUUGGACUAUUGCUACAAAAAAAAACAGAAUCACAGGUUUAAUUCUAUCAAAGGAGAUAAAGCCUCUUAUCUCUACUGUCUUUGAGGGUAAAGAUGCUAAUGUCAUCGCCCAGAGAGCAAGAAAUUGCGGAAAAACAUAUCUCAUACAUGUAUUGAAAGCAAUCCCAUUAAGGUAUUGAUUAUCAGACAUGAUACUAUAGAUGAAAAAUGCUAAUUAUUGUAUCGCAUGGUUUGUAGGGAAAUGAUUAUGCUCUGACGCUCAAAGGAAACAGACACCUUUGACUGUGUCUGCUACUUCUAGAAAACAGACAGUGCUAAGGGGAAAUGUGACAGAGAGAAAAGACUAAAAUCAAAGCAAGGAAACUGUUCCGCGAAGCAAACGAUUCAGUGAAAUGUAAAAAUAGCAUGUUGGAAAAUUUAAUUAAUACGUCAUGAAGUGGAAUAAUCUAGAUUCUUCCUUUACAAAGAGGUAAAACAGAGGGUAUAGAAACAGAGACUAAGAGACCAAGAGUCUUAAUUAAGGAGGUUUGGUAUACCACUUAACCCUAAUCAAUCCACUACUUACUUGAUAAAGACAUAUUCUCAUCAUGUAUAUUUGAUUAGAUUAGCUAGGCUCGUAAUAUGGGACAAAACCCCGAAGAUGAGCAAGAAAUGCUUUGAAAGAUUUUAUCGUAGCGUGAGUGUCAUAUCUGCACCCUUCAGUGCUCCCUUGUAAAAUCAGAGUAUCUGAGUAUAGAUACUUAAUAGGUUUAAGUGUUCUUCGAUCUUGGACGAUAUGUUCCAACUUAUACUGAUACAGAGGUUAUACAGAUUUUUGGUUUUUCUAAUAAAAUAAAUUGUUUGCUGAAA
Long non-coding RNA from Arabidopsis lyrata subsp. lyrata, 1046 nucleotides. RefSeq lists it as uncharacterized. The transcript has 2 exons. Lineage: Eukaryota; Viridiplantae; Streptophyta; Magnoliopsida; Brassicales; Brassicaceae. The record is from RefSeq and is a predicted model, not a curated record.